RNAcentral lists this long non-coding RNA (1000 nucleotides) under Sinocyclocheilus grahami. Its description in RNAcentral is "lncRNA (ENSSGRG00000022751.1)". The record is from RNAcentral. Lineage: Eukaryota; Metazoa; Chordata; Actinopteri; Cypriniformes; Cyprinidae.
GGUAUGUAUUUUGUAGCUAUAAUUUCAUCUGUGUGUACUUCAUCUUUCACUUGCCACAUGACCCUGUUAUGGCCUGUCUUCUGUUUUCUCCUUCAUCACUCUCUCAUUUCCCUUCAGGUCCCAGGUCUUUUAGGCGACCCUUCCCGGCUGCUCCUGCAAAAAGUUCUGGGUCUUCGAACUCCGGCGGUGGUUCCUCUGGGGAAGGGGUUGCUGGGAGAUUCUCCCACAGAGUUGGGCCAAGACACUUCUCCGCUCACGUCCCAGGGUGGAAACUCUGGGGCUGGAAUGGUGUCACAUGUACCUGGACGUUCACAUGCGAGUUCCAUCGCCGACCAGAAUGGAGUCACUGCGACAUGCCUGGCUCCGGAGAAACAGCCUGCACCUCCAGGAACCACAGGUGGCUCUGUAAGCUCCCAAACCCAACUGCAAAACUUCCUUCCUGGAAUUAACGCACCAAGUCUGGGACUUUUGCUGGGGAGUACAACACACAAAACUCCAGCAAACCACCACAGUUCAAGUGUGCAGACUAGUACAUCUGUUACAAGUCAAUCCAGUUGUCAGAUGUCUCUGUUGGGAGACCCCCCAAAAGAAGUGAAGUUGCCUUCCAACCCAUAUCUAAACCUGGCUAGUGUGCUUCCUGGAGUGGUACUACAAGCACCCUGCAACAGUAAACCUCAGACUGUGCAGGCGCACACUGGGACGUACAGUGCAGUCCUGCCACCUGCCACCCACCCACCCAGUCAAUACAGCGCAGAAACCACUCCUGCAGAAUACACUCACCAAUACACCCAGCAAUACACGCAGGUAUAUAAAUGAAAAAUAUACAUGUAUUUUUACACACACACAUACACAUAUACAUAUAUACACAUACACACUGGUUUGUAAAUAUUUUUGGAAAAAAAUUUUUAUUUUAUGCUCACUAAAUCCAUUUAUCCUUUGCUGAAACUCCCGAUUCUUCAUGGAGAGCGGAGGUCAUGGUUGCUUAGCAACGGCAGACGCC